UACCUAGCGGCAGACGGGUGCGUAACAUGUGGGAAUCUGCCUUUUGGUUCGGAACAACAUGGGGAAACCUGUGCUAAUACCGGAUAAGUCCUAACGGAGAAAGUUUUAAUGCCAAAAGAUGAGCCCGCAUUUGAUUAGCUUGUUGGUGAGGUAAAAGCUCACCAAGGCUAUAAUCAAUAGCUGAUUUGAGAGGAUGAUCAGCCACACUGGGACUGAGAUACGGCCCAGACUCCUACGGGAGGCAGCAGUGGGGAAUCUUGCACAAUGGGCGAAAGCCUGAUGCAGCGAUGCCGCGUGAGUGAAGAAGGCCUUUGGGUUGUAAAGCUCUUUUGUCGGGAAAGAUAAUGACUGUACCCGAAGAAUAAGGUCCGGCUAACUUCGUGCCAGCAGCCGCGGUAAUACGAAGGGACCUAGCGUAGUUCGGAAUUACUGGGCGUAAAGAGUAUGUAGGCGGCUAGAUAAGUUAAUUGUGAAAGCCCAAAGCUUAACUUUGGAACUGCAAUUAA
This 506-nucleotide ribosomal RNA is filed under the name uncultured Alphaproteobacteria bacterium. RNAcentral describes it as "bacterial SSU rRNA". It matches the Rfam family "Bacterial small subunit ribosomal RNA", at positions 89 to 630 of the family's 1533-position model. The record is from RNAcentral. Lineage: Bacteria; Pseudomonadati; Pseudomonadota; Alphaproteobacteria.